Molecule: ribosomal RNA, 274 nt
Filed under: uncultured bacterium
Lineage: Bacteria
Description: partial 16S ribosomal RNA
Rfam family: Bacterial small subunit ribosomal RNA
Source: RNAcentral
AUACGGAGGGUCCAAGCGUUAUCCGGAAUCAUUGGGUUUGAAGGGUCCGCAGGCGGUCAAUUAAGUCAGAGGUGAAAGCCCAUCGCUCAACGAUGGAACUGCCUUUGAUACUGGUUGACUUGAGUUAUACGGAAGUAGAUAGAAUAAGUAGUGUAGCGGUGAAAUGCAUAGAUAUUACUUAGAAUACCGAUUGCGAAGGCAGUCUACUACGUAUAUUCUGACGCUGAGGGACGAAAGCGUGGGGAGCGAACAGGAUUAGAAACCCUAGUAGUCC